AGAAAAACAGGCGGCGUAGCAGGUGGGCAGCACGUUGCCAUGAUGUGCCGUGGCCCGGCCGUGGCUGGCGUGAUCCCACCAGAGUGAGCUGGAGCAGAUCUGCACCAUGGGCCAAGUUUCUCAGAAAAUACAUGGCUUCCUGCGGGCUGCAGCCUAAUGCCCACGUUCCUCUCGGGGCAGACCGAAGGUUAUUCAACCAGGGCAAAGGACAGCCUUGCAAACCAACUACGUCCUCCUUCUGGAGUUUGUGUGACCCCUGGCCCCUGAGCCCACACCCUCUCGGAGCGGGGUUCCAACUCCGUGGAAGCUCUGCUGAGAUGCAGGUCCCUCCCUCGACACCUGGGGAUUACAAUUAGAGAUGCGAUUUGGAUGGGGACACCGAGAGAAACCAUGACAGGGGCUCUCCAGAGAAGCAGCCCAGCCUUGGGCAACUUAGUUCUCCCAUCUGACCAUCCAACCCAAUAAGGCUGCUGACUCACAUAGGACCAGGUUUCAGAUAUUCUCCACUAACUAGGAAGAUGAUUUUGCUUUCAGACCACACAGACACUCAUCGCCCCUCUUGCCACCCAUCCUU
RNAcentral lists this long non-coding RNA (574 nucleotides) under Homo sapiens (human). RNAcentral's name for it is "non-protein coding lnc-NPIPB15-2:1". Lineage: Eukaryota; Metazoa; Chordata; Mammalia; Primates; Hominidae. The record is from RNAcentral.